This 771-nucleotide long non-coding RNA is filed under the name Homo sapiens (human). RNAcentral describes it as "HSALNT0092358". The record is from RNAcentral. Lineage: Eukaryota; Metazoa; Chordata; Mammalia; Primates; Hominidae.
GGACUCUCCUGAUUUCUUGUUCCUGUUCUAAAAGCAGCAAAUUAUUUCCUGACAGACCCUCCUCCUUGCAGUAAGUUGCCAAACUCAGCCAACAACUCAGCCAACAACAACAAAAACACACUGGUGUCAUUGGACUGUUUAUUAUCAAAUAGCAAGAAAAAAAUUAUGGAUCUAUCUACAGUUUUCAUUCUAUGGCCCUACUGGAUAAAUUUCAAGGUGACAGAUGUGAGACACAAACAAAUUUUCCUUUUGAUGACAAGAGUUGUACCUGUUUGGCCAUUAAAUGACCAUUUAAAUCACCAUUAAACGCCCACCUCCAUCAUCAUCAUCAGUUGCACUUAUGUUUAUGAAAGCCAUGGAUUGGUGAGCACAUCAGCUCAAGCUCGCCUAGCUGUCAUCGGUCAAUAAUCCAUAAAGGAGAAGGAAAAAUUUCCUCCAGAAUCAAAACCCAUGCCUGGCUCUUUGAUUGAAAGUACCAUACAACAAUUCAUUUUUAAGUUUUUUUUUUUAAUUCUCCGAAGCACUCUGUCUCAGAUUGCAAGUACUUUGGUUGCAAGCACUACCAGGUGACUUUGGCAAAAUUAAGCUAAAAUAUAUUUAAUGGGUGCACAUGAGGUAGCUCAGAGGGUUUAAAUGAGGGCUAAAGAACUAAACUUGAAACAGAUAUGAAAAGGAAGCUGUAGAGACUCAGUGGCACUGAUUGUUAGGUUGUUUCUACAUUGCUAAGAUGAAUAAACAAAUUCCAAAUUUUCUCUUGUCUUAGUCACUCCU